Molecule: ribosomal RNA, 497 nt
Filed under: uncultured bacterium
Lineage: Bacteria
Description: partial 16S ribosomal RNA
Rfam family: Bacterial small subunit ribosomal RNA
Source: RNAcentral
GAUGAACGCUGGCGGCGUGCCUAAUACAUGCAAGUCGAGCGAACGGACGAGAAGCUUGCUUCUCUGAUGUUAGCGGCGGACGGGUGAGUAACACGUGGAUAACCUACCUAUAAGACUGGGAUAACUUCGGGAAACCGGAGCUAAUACCGGAUGAUAUUUUGAACCGCAUGGUUCAAAAGUGAAAGACGGUCUUGCUGUCACUUAUAGAUGUAUCCGCGCUUCAUUAGCUAGUUGGUAAGGUAACGGCUUACCAAGGCAACGAUGCAUAGCCGACCUGAGAGGGUGAUCGGCCACACUGGAACUGAGACACGGUCCAGACUCCUACGGGAGGCAGCAGUAGGGAAUCUUCCGCAAUGGGCGAAAGCCUGACGGAGCAACGCCGCGUGAGUGAUGAAGGUCUUCGGAUCGUAACACUCUGUUAUUAGGGAAGAACAUAUGUGUAAGUAACUGUGCACAUCUUGGCGGUACCUAAUCAGAAAGCCACGGCUAACUACGUG